This is a long non-coding RNA of Jaculus jaculus (lesser Egyptian jerboa), 3130 nucleotides long. RefSeq lists it as uncharacterized. The record is from RefSeq and is a predicted model, not a curated record. NCBI's taxonomy places the organism in Eukaryota, Metazoa, Chordata, Mammalia, Rodentia, Dipodidae. The transcript has 7 exons.
GACCCGGUUCCCGGCGGUGAAGUCUGCGGUGGGAUCUCUCAGGCUAAGGGAUGAAGAACCUGAAGUAGACAGUCAUUCCAAGACGUAAUCAGAACUCACAACCCUUAAAUGGUGGAACCACAAGGAGAGUCCAGAUGUGGAACCAUACUUCGUGACCACGGAUAGGCCAUCUGUACCCAAAAGAAGAGCAGAUGUGGGAGCAAUGUGAGGGCAUGAUCACACGGCACCCCAAAUACAGCCGAAUGGACAGAAAGUACCUGAUGCUGGGGACCAGCCUCCUCCUAAGGCUUAGACUCCCUUUAAUGGAAUAGCUAUAACCACAGUGGAUACCAAGAUGUUUUCUUAGGGAAACAGCGCUGGCCCUUGUUGCAGAUACCAUCUCAGCAGCUCGGCUCCAUUGUGUCCCUUUCCUGAUCCUCUACAGGAUUAUGAGCCCAGUUGAGGCGAUUUGAAGAACUGCUGCCCCAGGUGUGUAGCUAACACUGGUGAUGAAGAAUUUCAAGGAGCAGCACUGGAAGAAGUUCUGUGCCUCCAUGAAUGAGACCCAGCUACCCUUUGAGCAGCAACAGAAGCAGCUAGAGAAAAAGAAGAUGCAUUGAAGGAGGAGGAAGGCCGAGAAUUUCCAGAAGCUCCAUCCAAAUCUUGGACACCCCAGAUAUUCUCAAGAAAUGAAGUCACUGCACAUAGUGGAGGAAAAAAGGCAGGAGAAGCUGGAGGGCACCCUCAAGUUAUACCAGGAGGAGCUGGAGGAAUUCAUCAGGAAGUAUGGCCGCCUUCCCAUCGCCAGCUUGGCCACUUUCACAGAGACGUUCCUGCUACAGCUAGAUGAAGUGAUCACAACUGACGACAUCCUAGUUGCACGUGUUCAAGUCUAACUGAGUAGCCUCCUGCUCCCGCUUCAGCUCCUCUCCUCCUGGGGAAAGACAGCAGGUUGUGCCCCCUACAACAUCACCACACAGAGUGAACUUACUGUCGCCGAGGCUGUCCUUGACUCUCUGUGGGCACUGAAGUGACAGGCCAAAGCCUCCUUAAGGGGAUCCAUUCUACUCAGCCAUGAGUCCCUCAGGAUUCAUACUUCAUGAGUGCUCACUCAUCUUCUAGGUGGUUCGGCUGGGCCACCAGAACAUGUAGCUGCUGCUUGCCUUGUAUCACUUCCUGGACCUGUUCCUACAAGGUGGGCAAAGAGAAGAAGACACAGUGGAGCUGGUUGCAUGGUUCUGCAGUUAAAGGCACUUGCUAGCAAAGGACGCCCAUCCAAUAUAUUCACACUUUUGGUUAGAGAAGCGUCUAUUCUCAGCACUAUCCCACCCUCCAAGGUUCAGAGACUUGGUGAAAGAGAGAAUGUCUGAGGCCAAGGAAGAAGACUACAUUCACUACUGUCUUCAAGACACUGUGCAACAAUAGGAAGGGGAAACGGAUGACAUCAACACAGGAGAGACACUGGUUGGAAAGAAGAAGAGAUCCAGUGCAGGGGAACUAGAAGAAAAGGGAGGGGGAAGAGCGGUUUAAUUUUAAAAACGAAAGAUAGGUGUUACUCUUCUGUACACAGGCCUGAGCAGUUCCUUCCCUUCUGACCCUUGGUGCAGUGAGAGAACGCUUCCUGCCUGGGUGGGACAGCAGGAGCAGAAGGUACUUUGAUUUCUGAGUCUCUCCUAUCCAGUGCCUUCUCUUACCCCUAACAACAGUACGCUGAGUCACAUCAAUCCUGUAGCAAUGCCUCAUGGCUAGUCACAUGAAAACAUGAGAGGGGAGGGAAAAAAGUGGAACCACAGGCAGGAGCUCUACUGAGCUCAGCACGAUCCCCACACACUGUCCUGCCAAGGUUAUGGACCAUUAAAAUGCUGCCAAAAUGAUCUUAGUGGGUCUAAGCAAGGGGUGGGGACUCGGGCAUGAUCCUGUUUGUAUUCUCAUGGUGGUGGUAGAAAGGGGAUGAGGGUUUGCUGCCCAAGCUCAAGCAUUCCCCGCACUCUGGAUCCAAGAAGGCUGCUGUACCAUCAGCUGUGCAGUGGGUUUCUCAUGAGGAGCGGCCUCUGCAGCCUUGCCUUGUUCAGGCCCCACACAGCCUUCAAUUCUCACCUCCUGAAGAUCUGUGGGAAGGGCGGGGACAGUGCUGUGAGGGUCAUGCCACCGCUGCCCUGUGGAUGUCCAACCCGACGCCAGCACUCCUGUGGGCACGUCUAUCCCCUGUCCUGCCCGAGGCUCUACUUACUACCAUGUUGGUCAGAAGUGCUGCCAUCCUGGGUUCCCGGGAGCCCUGGAGUGGGCUGAUAAGCAGUAUUCAGGAGGGAUCCAAAGAACUUCCACCAGCCCUUCUUUUCCUGUCUUGGUCCAAGCUGCUGCCGCGCUGACAACUUGAUCUGAGGAGAGAGGCGCUCAGUGCCAGCCCUGCACUUGCCCAGCCCACCGACGUCUCAGGGUCCUACCUGCAUCUCCUUCUCCUGCUUCAGAACACUAAUGCAAUUCUCUUUUUCUAUGGCAUGUGCCUUCAUCGAUGCCCUCUGGUGCUGAGUGACGGCAUUGUAAUCGUCUGUGUGGAUGGCACGCAGAUGAAUAGACUCAGACCAUGUAAUAUCUGUGGCCCAUCAUCCCAUGUGCAGCCCCCUGACGUGGGCCUGGUUCCACUCACCAAUGCUGUCAGACUCUGAAGAGAGCAGCACACACUUACGGUAGACGUCCUCCAUGAGCUCCUUCAGCUCCAGGACACAUGCUUCGAGCAUCAUGAUUUGCAUCUGGGACCAAAAUAGGAAAUUUCAAGUGUCAGUGGAAUCCACAGCUGGUCCUACUUUCCCAGUGCCUUGCAGGGACCAGGAAGGAACAGGAGUGGCACCUCCUCCCACUUGCGCCCAGCCUCACCAACAUCUCACCUGCGCCUCCUGCAAUUCCUGGUGGGUUCUCUGGGCCUCCAUCUUGGCCUGGGCCUCGCUGUGCUGCAGCAGGACCACGUGCUGGCUCUGCAGCACCAACUGCCUGUGCAGCGCCUCCUGCUCACCUCUGAGGCGAUCAUAGGCAGCCCGGAGCUGCGGGUGGCACCCUUCAUAGCGCUGCAGGUGGGUCAGGCACUGGUGCAGCUGCUCCUCAAGAUCACGAGCCUCCUGGCUCUUCUGAUCCACCUGCAGCAAGGGCAUGAGGU